Molecule: non-coding RNA, 148 nt
Organism: Brachypodium distachyon (stiff brome)
Lineage: Eukaryota; Viridiplantae; Streptophyta; Magnoliopsida; Poales; Poaceae
Gene: MIR395D
Product: microRNA MIR395d
Exons: 1
Source: RefSeq, marked provisional
AGCUCCUGGACGAACGGUUGGUUGUUUCCUGGGGUUCCCUCCAAACACUUCAGCAGGUCGGCUUUCCUAUACUAGCUCACAGGCUGAAGGGUGAAGUGUUUGGGGAACUCUAGGUGACAACCGCCAUUUUAUCAAGGUCAAACUGCUG